AGGGGCAGCAUUUCAGUUUGCUUGCAAACUGGAGAUGGCGACCGGCGCACGGGUGAGUAACACGUAUCCAACCUGCCGAUAACUCGGGGAUAGCCUUUCGAAAGAAAGAUUAAUAUCCGAUGGCAUAUUUCUCCCGCAUGAGAGAGAUAUUAAAGAAUUUCGGUUAUCGAUGGGGAUGCGUUCCAUUAGUUUGUUGGCGGGGUAACGGCCCACCAAGACUACGAUGGAUAGGGGUUCUGAGAGGAAGGUCCCCACAUUGGAACUGAGACACGGUCCAAACUCC
Molecule: ribosomal RNA, 283 nt
Filed under: uncultured Bacteroides sp.
Lineage: Bacteria; Pseudomonadati; Bacteroidota; Bacteroidia; Bacteroidales; Bacteroidaceae
Description: partial 16S ribosomal RNA
Rfam family: Bacterial small subunit ribosomal RNA
Source: RNAcentral